This 432-nucleotide ribosomal RNA is filed under the name uncultured bacterium. Its description in RNAcentral is "partial 16S ribosomal RNA". It matches the Rfam family "Bacterial small subunit ribosomal RNA", at positions 338 to 795 of the family's 1533-position model. The record is from RNAcentral.
CCUACGGGAGGCAGCAGUGGGGAAUCUUGCGCAAUGGGCGAAAGCCUGACGCAGCGAUGCCGCGUGCGGGAAGACGGCCUUCGGGUUGUAAACCGCUUUCAGCAGGGACGCGGUACCUGCAGAAGAAGCUCCGGCCAACUACGUGCCAGCAGCCGCGGUAAGACGUAGGGGGCGAGCGUUGUCCGGAAUUAUUGGGCGUAAAGGGCUCCUAGGCGGUUCAGUAAGUCGACUGUGAAAAUCCAAGGCUCAACCUUGGGACGCCAGUCGAUACUGCUGGACUCGAGUUCGGUAGAGGAGUGUGGAAUUCCUGGUGUAGCGGUGAAAUGCGCAGAUAUCAGGAGGAACACCAACGGCGAAGGCAGCACUCUGGGCCGAACUGACGCUGAAGAGCGAAAGCGUGGGGAGCAAACAGGAUUAGAUACCCUUGUAGUC